RNAcentral lists this non-coding RNA (76 nucleotides) under Pseudovibrio sp. Tun.PSC04-5.I4. Lineage: Bacteria; Pseudomonadati; Pseudomonadota; Alphaproteobacteria; Hyphomicrobiales; Stappiaceae. The record is from RNAcentral.
AAGAGCCGUAUGAGUUGAGAGGCUCACGUACGGUUCUGUGAGAGGCUGGGGGUGAAAUUCCCCCGGCCUACUCGAC